GUGGGGAAUUUUGGACAAUGGGCGCAAGCCUGAUCCAGCAAUGCCGCGUGUGUGAAGAAGGCCUUCGGGUUGUAAAGCACUUUUGUCCGGAAAGAAAUGGCCUGGGUUAAUACCCCGGGUCGAUGACGGUACCGGAAGAAUAAGCACCGGCUAACUACGUGCCAGCAGCCGCGGUAAUACGUAGGGUGCGAGCGUUAAUCGGAAUUACUGGGCGUAAAGCGUGCGCAGGCGGCGAUGCAAGACAGAUGUGAAAUCCCCGGGCUCAACCUGGGAACUGCAUGUGUGACUGAAUGGCUAGAGUGCGUCAGAGGGGGGUGGAAUUCCGCGUGUAGCAGUGAAAUGCGUAGAUAUGCGGAGGAACACCGAUGGCGAAGGCAGUCCCCUGGGCCUGUACUGACGCUCAUGCACGAAAGCGUGGGGAGCAAACAGGAUUAGAUACCCUAGUAGUCC
RNAcentral lists this ribosomal RNA (450 nucleotides) under uncultured bacterium. RNAcentral's name for it is "partial 16S ribosomal RNA". It matches the Rfam family "Bacterial small subunit ribosomal RNA", at positions 354 to 796 of the family's 1533-position model. The record is from RNAcentral.